GACGGUUUGGCUGUGUGGUCUAAGGCGUCAGAUUUAGGCUCUGGUCCGAAAGGGCGUUGGUUCAAAUCCCACAGCCGUCA
Ipomoea nil (Japanese morning glory) is the source of this 80-nucleotide transfer RNA. It matches the Rfam family "tRNA". Rfam says of the family: Transfer RNA (tRNA) molecules are approximately 80 nucleotides in length. Their secondary structure includes four short double-helical elements and three loops (D, anti-codon, and T loops). NCBI's taxonomy places the organism in Eukaryota, Viridiplantae, Streptophyta, Magnoliopsida, Solanales, Convolvulaceae. The record is from Rfam.